CUCUCAUUACUGCUUUGAUAAGACCAAACAGUGGACCCCAAGAAAACCUGCUACAUGUAUUUAUGAUGUGUUUCAUUAUCGUUUUGAUUGAUUUUUUUUUUUUUUUCCCUUUCUUUUUUAAAUCUCCUCUCUGGAUGAAUACAGGGGGGGACGUGUAUGAUAUGUGGACAGCUCAACUUCAAGAGAGGCUGCGUAACAGGAUAUCAUCUCGCUGCUUCUUCGUAGAGUUUAUGGAUCAU
This 239-nucleotide unclassified non-coding RNA is filed under the name Lytechinus variegatus (green sea urchin). RNAcentral's name for it is "e3 ubiquitin-protein ligase PDZRN3-like, transcript variant X4". Lineage: Eukaryota; Metazoa; Echinodermata; Echinoidea; Temnopleuroida; Toxopneustidae. The record is from RNAcentral.